GCCUAACACAUGCAAGUCGAACGCUUUUCGUCUCCUUCGGGGGGCGAAGGGAGUGGCGAACGGGUGCGUAACACGUGAGCGACCUGCCCUUAUCCGGGGGAUAACCGUGGGAAACCGCGGCUAAUACCGCAUGGGCCCAGGGGCUGCAUGGCUCUUGGGUGAAAGGUCUUCGGGCCGGGUAGGGAGGGGCUCGCGGCGUAUCAGCUAGCUGGUGGGGUAAUGGCCCACCAGGGCGACGACGCGUAGCCGGUCUGAGAGGAUGAUCGGCCACAUUGGGACUGAGAUACGGCCCAGACUCCUACGGGAGGCAGCAGUGGGGAAUCUUGCGCAAUGGGCGAAAGCCUGACGCAGCGACGCCGCGUGCGGGAGGACGGCCUUCGGGUUGUAAACCGCUGUCAGAGGGGACGAAGGUGCAGCGAUGCAUUUGACGGUACCCUCAGAGGAAGCACCGGCUAACUCCGUGCCAGCAGCCGCGGUAAUACGGAGGGUGCGAGCGUUGUUCGGAAUUACUGGGCGUAAAGCGCGCGCAGGCGGCGUCGUAAGUCUACCUGUCCAAUGCCGGGGCUCAACCCCGUGCGUGCAGGAGAUACUGGCAUGCUGGAGACAUGCAGAGGCAGAUGGAAUUCCGGGUGUAGCGGUGGAUGCGUAGAGAUCCGGAAGAACACCGGUGGCGAAGGCGGUCUGCUGGGCAUGGUCUGACGCUGAGGCGCGAAGGCGUGGGGAGCGAACAGGAUUAGAUACCCUGGUAGUCCACGCGGUAAACGAUGGGCACUAGACGUGGGGGGGAUCGACCCCAUCCGUGUCGCAGCUAACGCGUGAAGUGCCCCGCCUGGGGAGUACGGCCCAAGGCUGAAACUCAAAGGAAUUGACGGGGGCCCGCACAAGCGGUGGAGCAUGUGGUUUAAUUCGAAGCAACGCGAAGAACCUUACCCGGGUUUGACAUGCACGUGAAAGUCUCGUGAAAGCGGGAGCCUCCUUCGGGACACGUGCACAGGUGCUGCAUGGCUGUCGUCAGCUCGUGUCGUGAGAUGUUGGGUUAAGUCCCGCAACGAGCGCAACCCUUGCCGACUGUUGCUAACAGGGCUAAAGCUGAUGGGGACUCUCUCGGGACUGCCGGUGACAAACCGGAGGAAGGUGGGGACGACGUCAAGUCAUCAUGGUCCUUACGCCCGGGGCUACACACGUGCUACAAUGGCCGGGACAAACCGAAGCGAGGCCGCGAGGCGGAGCGAAUCGGAAAAACCCGGUCUAAGUUCGGAUUGCAGUCUGCAACUCGACUGCAUGAAGCUGGAAUCGCUAGUAAUCGUGGGUCAGCUACACCACGGUGAAUACGUUCCCGGGCCUUGUACACACCGCCCGUCACGCCAUGGAAGUUGGGAGCGCCCGAAGUCCGUGACCGAACCCUUCGGGGACGGAGCGGCCGAAGGCGAGCUCGAUGACUGGGGCGAAGUCGUAACAAGGUAGCCGUAGGGGAACCUGCGGCUGGAUCACCUCCUU
RNAcentral lists this ribosomal RNA (1497 nucleotides) under uncultured Gemmatimonas sp. RNAcentral describes it as "bacterial SSU rRNA". It matches the Rfam family "Bacterial small subunit ribosomal RNA". Lineage: Bacteria; Pseudomonadati; Gemmatimonadota; Gemmatimonadia; Gemmatimonadales; Gemmatimonadaceae. The record is from RNAcentral.